UACGUAGGGUGCGAGCGUUAAUCGGACUUACUGGGCGUAAAGCGUGCGCAGGCGGUUUUGUACGACAGGUGUGAAAUCCCCGGGCUUAACCUGGGACCUGCAUUUGUGACUGCAAGACUAGAGUGUGGCAGAGGGGGGUAGAAUUCCACGUGUAGCAGUGAAAUGCGUAGAUAUGUGGAGGAAGACCGAUGGCGAAGGCAGCCCCCUGGGUCAACACUGACGCUGAGGCACGAAAGCGUGGGGAGCAAACAGG
RNAcentral lists this ribosomal RNA (253 nucleotides) under uncultured bacterium. RNAcentral's name for it is "partial 16S ribosomal RNA". It matches the Rfam family "Bacterial small subunit ribosomal RNA", at positions 524 to 776 of the family's 1533-position model. The record is from RNAcentral.